UGGUGAUGGUGAUGUGUAUAGUUCUAACACUUUUCAAUAGUGUUUAUUACCUGUUUUAUUUAGUUGCAUGUCUUGUUUUCUUUAAACUUUUUUUCUUUAUUUAUUAUGUUUUGUUUGUUUAGUUGAUUUUAAUUAUUUUGGUUCUAGAAUUAAUCUGUUGAUACCUGUACACAGCAGCCUACUAUAUCAGACCAGGCAUCAUCAUUCUAACCAAAAUGUAAUCAGAUUAGGG
This 232-nucleotide long non-coding RNA is filed under the name Mytilus galloprovincialis (Mediterranean mussel). Lineage: Eukaryota; Metazoa; Mollusca; Bivalvia; Mytilida; Mytilidae. The record is from RNAcentral.